RNAcentral lists this transfer RNA (70 nucleotides) under Antigonia combatia (shortspine boarfish). Its description in RNAcentral is "tRNA-Pro". It matches the Rfam family "tRNA". From Rfam's summary of the family: Transfer RNA (tRNA) molecules are approximately 80 nucleotides in length. Their secondary structure includes four short double-helical elements and three loops (D, anti-codon, and T loops). Further hydrogen bonds mediate the characteristic L-shaped molecular structure. tRNAs have two regions of fundamental functional importance: the anti-codon, which is responsible for specific mRNA codon recognition, and the 3' end, to which the tRNAs corresponding amino acid is attached (by aminoacyl-tRNA synthetases). tRNAs cope with the degeneracy of the genetic code in two manners: having more than one tRNA (with a specific anti-codon) for a particular amino acid; and 'wobble' base-pairing, i.e. permitting non-standard base-pairing at the 3rd anti-codon position. The record is from RNAcentral. Lineage: Eukaryota; Metazoa; Chordata; Actinopteri; Caproiformes; Caproidae.
CAAAGAAUAGUUUAAUUAAGAAUACUAGCUUUGGGAGUUGGUGGUGGGGGUUAAAAUCCCUCUUUUUUGA